GUUGGCCUCGGAUCAGGUGGGGAUACCCGCUGAACUUAAGCAUAUCAAUAAGCGGAGGAAAAGAAACCAACAGGGAUUGCCUCAGUAACGGCGAGUGAAGCGGCAACAGCUCAAAUUUGAAAUCUGGCUCACGCCCGAGUUGUAAUUUGUAGAGGAUGUUUCGGGUGAAGCCACGGUCCAAGUCCCUUGGAACAGGACGUCAUAGAGGGUGAGAACCCCGUACCUGGCCGUCGGUGCCCCCCGCUGUGAAACUCCUUCGACGAGUCGAGUUGUUUGGGAAUGCAGCUCUAAAUUGGUGGUAAAUUCCAUCUAAAGCUAAAUACCGGCCAGAGACCGAUAGCGCACAAGUAGAGUGAUCGAAAGAUGAAAAGCACUUUGAAAAGAGAGUUAAAAAGUACGUGAAAUUGUUGAAAGGGAAGCGCUUGCGGCCAGACUUGCCCGCGGUUGCUCAGCCCGCCUUUUGGCGGGUGCACUCUUCCGCGGUCAGGCCAGCAUCGGUUUGGGCGGUCGGAUAAAGGCGCUGGGAACGUGGCCUCCCCUCGGGGAGGUGUUAUAGCCCGGCGUGCAAUGCGACCAGCCCGGACCGAGGUUCGCGCUUUGCUAGGAUGCUGGCGUAAUGGCCGUAAGCGGCCCGUCUUGAAACACGGACCAAGGAGUCUAACAUCUAUGCGAGUGUUUGGGUGUCAAACCCGUGCGCGUAAUGAAAGUGAACGGAGGUGGGAACCGCAAGGUGCACCAUCGACCGAUCCUGAUGUCUUCGGAAGGAUUUGAGUAAGAGCAUAGCUGUUGGGACCCGAAAGAUGGUGAACUAUGCGUGAAUAGGGUGAAGCCAGAGGAAACUCUGGUGGAGGCUCGCAGCGGUUCUGACGUGCAAAUCGAUCGUCAAAUUUGCGUAUAGGGGCGAAAGACUAAUCGAACCAUU
Molecule: ribosomal RNA, 922 nt
Filed under: Protoventuria alpina
Lineage: Eukaryota; Fungi; Ascomycota; Dothideomycetes; Venturiales; Venturiaceae
Description: eukaryotic LSU rRNA
Rfam family: Eukaryotic large subunit ribosomal RNA
Source: RNAcentral